AACGAACGCUGGCGGCAUGCCUAACACAUGCAAGUCGAACGAGAUCUUCGGGUCUAGUGGCGCACGGGUGCGUAACGCGUGGGAAUCUGCCCUUAGGUUCGGAAUAACAGUUGGAAACGACUGCUAAUACCGGAUGAUGACGAAAGUCCAAAGAUUUAUCGCCAGAGGAUGAGCCCGCGUAGGAUUAGCUAGUUGGUGUGGUAAAGGCGCACCAAGGCGACGAUCCUUAGCUGGUCUGAGAGGAUGAUCAGCCACACUGGGACUGAGACACGGCCCAGACUCCUACGGGAGGCAGCAGUGGGGAAUAUUGGACAAUGGGCGAAAGCCUGAUCCAGCAAUGCCGCGUGAGUGAUGAGGGCCUUAGGGUUGUAAAGCUCUUUUACCCGGGAUGAUAAUGACAGUACCGGGAGAAUAAGCUCCGGCUAACUCCGUGCCAGCAGCCGCCGUAA
Molecule: ribosomal RNA, 449 nt
Filed under: uncultured bacterium
Lineage: Bacteria
Description: partial 16S ribosomal RNA
Rfam family: Bacterial small subunit ribosomal RNA
Source: RNAcentral